CUUGAGAAAGCGUUUUGCCUACUUGGACAUAAAGUGUGCCCUUGAGGGAGUAAUUUCUGUCCACGUAGGCAAAACGCUUCCUCAGGG
This is a non-coding RNA of Gossypium hirsutum (cotton), 87 nucleotides long. Lineage: Eukaryota; Viridiplantae; Streptophyta; Magnoliopsida; Malvales; Malvaceae. The record is from Rfam.